CCAUGCCGCGUGUAGUGAAGAAGGUCUUCGGAUUGUAAAGCACUUUAAGUUGGGAGGAAGGGCAGUAAGUUAAUACCUUGCUGUUUUGACGUUACCGACAGAAUAAGCACCGGCUAACNUCGUGCCAGCAGCCGCGGUAA
RNAcentral lists this ribosomal RNA (140 nucleotides) under uncultured Pseudomonas sp. Its description in RNAcentral is "partial 16S ribosomal RNA". It matches the Rfam family "Bacterial small subunit ribosomal RNA", at positions 392 to 523 of the family's 1533-position model. Lineage: Bacteria; Pseudomonadati; Pseudomonadota; Gammaproteobacteria; Pseudomonadales; Pseudomonadaceae. The record is from RNAcentral.